This 497-nucleotide ribosomal RNA is filed under the name uncultured bacterium. RNAcentral describes it as "partial 16S ribosomal RNA". It matches the Rfam family "Bacterial small subunit ribosomal RNA", at positions 28 to 507 of the family's 1533-position model. The record is from RNAcentral.
GAUGAACGCUGGCGGCGUGCCUAAUACAUGCAAGUCGAGCGAACAGACGAGGAGCUUGCUCCUCUUACGUUAGCGGCGGACGGGGGAGUAACACGUGGAUAACCUACCUAUAAGACUGGGAUAACUUCGGGAAACCGGAGCUAAUACCGGAUAAUAUAUUGAACCGCAUGGUUCAAUAGUGAAAGGCGGUUUUGCUGUCACUUAUAGAUGGAUCCGAGCCGCAUUAGCUAGUUGGUGAGGUAACGGCUUACCAAGGCGACGAUGCGUAGCCGACCUGGGAGGGUGAUCGGCCACACUGGAACUGAGACACGGUCCAGACUCCGACGGGAGGCAGAAGUAGGGAAGCUUACGCAAUGGGCGAAAGCCUGACGGAGAAACGCCGCGUGAGUGAUGAAGGUCUUCGGAUCGUAAAACUCUGUUCUUAGGGAAGAACAAAUGUGUAAGUAACUAUGCACGUCUUGACGGUACCUAAACAGAAAGCCACGGCUAACUACGUG